This 251-nucleotide ribosomal RNA is filed under the name uncultured bacterium. Its description in RNAcentral is "partial 16S ribosomal RNA". It matches the Rfam family "Bacterial small subunit ribosomal RNA", at positions 9 to 240 of the family's 1533-position model. The record is from RNAcentral.
GAGUUUGAUCCUGGCUCAGGAUGAACGCUGGCGGCGUGCCUAACACAUGCAAGUCGAGCGAAGCGCUUAAAUUGGAUUUCUUCGGAAUGACGAUUUUUGUGACUGAGCGGCGGACGGGUGAGUAACGCGUGGGUAACCUGCCUCAUACAGGGGGAUAACAGUUAGAAAUGACUGCUAAUACCGCAUAAGACCACAGCUUCGCAUGAAGCAGUGGCAAAAACUCCGGUGGUAUGAGAUGGACCCGCGUCUGA